Molecule: transfer RNA, 77 nt
Filed under: Caudoviricetes sp.
Lineage: Duplodnaviria; Heunggongvirae; Uroviricota; Caudoviricetes
Description: tRNA-Gln
Rfam family: tRNA
About the family: Transfer RNA (tRNA) molecules are approximately 80 nucleotides in length. Their secondary structure includes four short double-helical elements and three loops (D, anti-codon, and T loops).
Source: RNAcentral
UGCUGUAUAGUGUAAACGGUUAGCACAUAUGACUUUGACUCAUAUAAUAACAGUUCGAGUCUGUUUACAGCUUUCAA